This 267-nucleotide ribosomal RNA is filed under the name Triticum aestivum (bread wheat). Its description in RNAcentral is "partial small subunit ribosomal RNA". Lineage: Eukaryota; Viridiplantae; Streptophyta; Magnoliopsida; Poales; Poaceae. The record is from RNAcentral.
AUGUCGGCGGUGGUGGAGGGCGAGGGGCGGUGCAGCAAGCCCACGGUGGAGGUCGGGGUGGCGCACGUCGGGUGUGCGGAAGACGCGGCGGCGUUCGUGGCGCUGGCGGCGGCAGUGGACCUGAGCAUGGACGCGUGCAGGCUCUUCUCGCACAAGCUCAGGAAGGAGCUCUCGCACCUGCGGUCGGACGUCCUCCGGCGACCGCCGGCGGCCGGCAAACAUCUCAUUCCGACGAGCAAACUGUACAAAGUAGAGCCGAUAAUCUAG